GACAGAGGGUGCAAGCGUUAUUCGGAAUCAUUGGGCGUAAAGGGCGCGUAGGCGGUUUCGCAAGUCGGAUGUGAAAGCCCAGGGCUCAACCUUGGAAGGGCAUCCGAAACUACUUAACUUGAAUCCCGGAGAGGGUGGUGGAAUUCCCAGUGUAGAGGUGAAAUUCGUAGAUAUUGGGAGGAACACCGGUGGCGAAGGCGACCACCUGGACGGAGAUUGACGCUGAGGCGCGAGAGCGUGGGGAGCAAACAGG
Molecule: ribosomal RNA, 253 nt
Filed under: uncultured bacterium
Lineage: Bacteria
Description: partial 16S ribosomal RNA
Rfam family: Bacterial small subunit ribosomal RNA
Source: RNAcentral